RNAcentral lists this ribosomal RNA (299 nucleotides) under Thaumapsylla sp. P4496F. RNAcentral's name for it is "partial 12S ribosomal RNA". Lineage: Eukaryota; Metazoa; Arthropoda; Insecta; Siphonaptera; Ischnopsyllidae. The record is from RNAcentral.
AUACUAAAGUAGUAAUAGUUAUAUGCUUGAAACUUAAAGAAUUUGGCGGUAUUUUAAUCUUUUCAGAGGAACCUGUUCUAUAAUCGAUAUUCCACGUUAAAUUUUACUAAAUUAUUUGUAUAUCGUUGUCGAAAGAAUAAAAUUUUCUAAUAUUAAGAUUUUAAUAGAUGUCAAAUCAAGGUGCAGUUUAUAGUUUAGAAGAAAUGGGUUACAAUAAAAUUAUUUAGGAUUUUGAUGAAGGUGGAUUUGAAAGUAAAUUAAUUUUAAUAAAUUUAAUUGAUUAUAGUUCUAAAAUAUGU